AAAACAAUCAUAGGCCAUCACAGUCAGAAGCAUGUCAUCCAUACAUCCAAAAAGGACAAAAAGAGACAUCUGUGUCAGGCAGCCCCCAUAGGAGAUGACCCUGAUGUGAGUAAGGAGGUCCACAAUCAACUUUGGGACUAUAGAGGAGGUGAAAUAGAUGCCAGCCAAGGACAGGUUGGAGAGGAAGAAGUACAUGGGGGUGUGGAGGUGGGAGGCAGAGAUGACAGCCAGGAUGUUGAGCAGGUUCCUGAGCACUGUGACCAGGUAGAUGGACAGGAUCAGUCCAAAGAGGACUGGGUGCAGGUCUGGAUCAUCUGAGAAGGUCAUGAGAUAGAACUCUGAGACACAUUUCAGAACACUGGAAUCAAAGAAACUCCCAAGGCCCUGGCUGAGCCCCAGUCUUCCUAAUUCUAACCAACAGAUUUUCACAUCAAUUUCUACUGAAAUUUGAGACAGUGCCCUGGUUUGAAAUGCAGCAAAUCAACACUGAAGUCUCUAUGACUGACUGGCUACCAUGUACAGGGUGUGUGUACAUCCCGCCCCUCUUGGUGCUCUUGCUGCUUAAGAGACAGUGGGAAAAUUUCAUCUAUCUCCAAAGCCUGUGUAGCAUAUAAGGAAUAUUUGGAAUUUAAUAAAAUG
This 639-nucleotide long non-coding RNA is filed under the name Heterocephalus glaber (naked mole-rat). RNAcentral's name for it is "lncRNA (ENSHGLG00000019747.2)". The record is from RNAcentral. Lineage: Eukaryota; Metazoa; Chordata; Mammalia; Rodentia; Bathyergidae.